This 455-nucleotide long non-coding RNA is filed under the name Cicer arietinum (chickpea). RNAcentral's name for it is "long non-coding RNA (CARI_LNC002868)". Lineage: Eukaryota; Viridiplantae; Streptophyta; Magnoliopsida; Fabales; Fabaceae. The record is from RNAcentral.
ACGAGAAAAGUCAACCAUAUUUACAAACAGCGGAAAUAGUUUUUGAAACAAAAUCCAAAGUAUUUAAAUAGAAAAUACAACGGGGCUAUGAGACCCAUCAGACAUAGCCCAUACCCUUGGAGUAUUCUCGGCAGACACCUGCAUAAAAGCACUGCCCCAAGAAUCUCUACUUUCCCCACAUCACAUCAAAAUGUGGAACAUGGACCCAUUAAAAGAAAAAGUCAUCAGACAGUUUAAGCUUAGAUACAAUCUUCCAAAAUGAAAUAAAUACAAUCCCAAGAGAAAGACAUCUAGUCCUUAUACAACCACCUAAUCUGAUCAUGCUACAAAACUACACCACCCUGGUGAUCUCCACGCGCCCCGCAAGAUCCUCCUGACAUAGCUUUGGUCAAGUAUGACUAACUACUUUCCCAUCUCCAGGGUACUAACCGGUAGGAUGAUCCUGGUUCUUAUCU